UUUUAUAAAUAAGUAAAUGUGGGAAUUGUGGUUUGGAAUGGAAAUAAACAUGGGGUUUGGAAUAUAUGAAGUAGAAGAUAAGGAAUAUGGGGUUUUGGGGUUUGAGGUUUCGGAUUUUAGGGAUUUAAACGUACUGCUCAUUAAUUCCUCGUAAUUUAACGUCGAAUGUACGACGAAAUCGUCGUUUAUUCCACGUAGGACAGAAUCGUCGUAAA
Molecule: long non-coding RNA, 215 nt
Filed under: Brassica napus (rape)
Lineage: Eukaryota; Viridiplantae; Streptophyta; Magnoliopsida; Brassicales; Brassicaceae
Description: long non-coding RNA (BNAP_LNC006680)
Source: RNAcentral